UCAUAAGGUAGAAUAAUCCUUACCUGUUCUUCCAUUCAGAGGUCAGAUGGAACAUGAUGAUUGGAGUUCAAAUGAUUCCUGAUUAACGACUCUGCAUGAUUAGGGCUUGCAGCACCCUAAUUGCUCCUUGAUGAU
This is a small nucleolar RNA of Sorex fumeus (smoky shrew), 135 nucleotides long. RefSeq annotates it as U8 small nucleolar RNA. The transcript has a single exon. Lineage: Eukaryota; Metazoa; Chordata; Mammalia; Eulipotyphla; Soricidae. The record is from RefSeq and is a predicted model, not a curated record.